GCAUCUGAAAGAAUGUUGACCCCCACCCCCACAUACACACACUUUCAGCUGACUAAUAAGAAUCCUAGGAGAGAAGCAGAAUGGAAGCUGGGUGUGGGGUGCACACCUGCAACAUAGCACGUAGGAGGCUAAGCCAGGAGGAUCUGGAGUUUGAGGCCAGGGCAGGAUACAUCAGGAGUUCCAGGCCAAACCCAGCUGCUCAGAGAGUAGCCCACAGUGAAAAAGGAAGCUGCAGCAGAAUGGAAAUAUAUGAGAAGUGGGCUUAUAAAACAAAACACAACGCAGUCACAAGCUAUGCUCGGCUCUUCCCCUUUCAUCCUUCUACCUGUGAAAUGACAGGGAUGGGCAAGAUAGCCAUGAAGCCUGUGGACGGAGCUCUUAUUCCAGGCAUCAUCUAGGGAAGGAAAAGGAACGCUCCACCGUGCAGUAAGCUGAAUGACUGUCACAGUUUGAACCUGAAAUGUCCCCCUUAGAGGGUCAUGUUCUGGGGGCUUUGGGUGGGUCUGUGUCAUCUUUUAGGAGGUGGGGGAGGUGGGGCAUGGCUGGCAGCAAGUCACUAGUUCUGAUGGUUAGUUUGAAUUGUCAUUUUUGACCCAAACAAGGAUCGUCUAAGAAGAGAAUCUCCAUGCGGGGUUGUCUACAUCGAGCUGACCAGUGGGGUUGACCUGCAGGGUUGUCUACAGUGGAUUGGCCUGUGGGACUGUCUACAUUGUGCUUCUUUUGGAAUCUGCUAUAGACCAGCAGAGUGGGUACUGGCCCUAGGAAGGUCCUGUAGCAGAUGAAGGAUGCAGGCAUGGAAGAGACACUAUCUACCCAGGACAAAGAUGGAAGGGUGAAGAGGACCAGGCUGCUACACACUGCUAGGUGGAUCAUGCAUAGCCAAGAGGUCUCUAGCUGGACCACUCUGGCCCUGGACUGGAUCAGUAUAUGGAAAAGGUAAGUCCAGGUGAAGAACUUGGGGAGUUGACGAGUCUGGAAAACGAGCCCAAGCCAGGUUCUGCUGUUUUGGUAUGAUCUGGAGCCCCCAUGCCAGGAAGGUUAAGGCACAGCCCCAGCGUGAGACACCACACAGUUCACGACCCAUUCUGAGGAAGCCCUCCUUACGGACUGUUCUCUGCUCAAUUCUUCUGGAAGUCUCAGCUGCUGUAGACAGCUCUUUUAUUGUUUGGUAA
Alexandromys fortis (reed vole) is the source of this 1172-nucleotide long non-coding RNA. RefSeq lists it as uncharacterized. The record is from RefSeq and is a predicted model, not a curated record. NCBI's taxonomy places the organism in Eukaryota, Metazoa, Chordata, Mammalia, Rodentia, Cricetidae. The transcript has 3 exons.